RNAcentral lists this ribosomal RNA (245 nucleotides) under uncultured bacterium. RNAcentral's name for it is "partial 16S ribosomal RNA". It matches the Rfam family "Bacterial small subunit ribosomal RNA", at positions 524 to 768 of the family's 1533-position model. The record is from RNAcentral.
AACGUAGGAGGCUAGCGUUAUCCGGAUUUACUGGGCGUAAAGCGCGUGCAGGCGGUUGUGCAAGUUGGGCGUGAAAUCUCCUGGCUCAACUGGGAGGGGUCGUCCAAUACUGCAUGACUUGAGUGCAGAAGAGGGAAGCGGAAUUCCCGGUGUAGCGGUAAUAUGCGCAGAUAUCGGGAAGAACACCAGUGGCGAAGGCGGCUUCCUGGGCUGCAACUGACGCUGAGACGCGAAAGCUAGGGGAG